UUGAGAGCACAAUACCCCUGGCCUGCCCCUUCUUCUUCUACUUCCCAAUCUCAAUCUACGCACCCCUCAUUUCUCAACCCACCUGAUGGAGAACCCUUCCCUCUGCAGAAAGAAAAAGGGCGCCGCCCGUUCUUUCCUCAUCUUCACUCUAAUCCUCAUGGCCCUGGCGGCACUUUUCUGUGUCGCCACCUUUGGAAUCCAUCAUCGUCGAUUUCUAAUCGACGCAGAAGCAAGUGAUAGCCCCCCAGCUCAUGGAUACCGACGCCUGCUAGCUUCUGUGACUCAUCGCAGCCGAGUAUUGAUCGAAGCUCAACCAAGUGAAAGCCCCUCUAGCCCAGGACACUGAGGUUUUCUUGUUUCAGGGUGAUGAGUCUGCAUGCAACACCAUCAUUGCAAAAAUCAAAAGGCCAAGGUUGUGUUAGUCUAUGUGAAGCUAAAUGUGAAGUUCAUAGUUAAAUAAAUCCUGUAUAAAUAGACUUGGCAGAUGAAAUUUAAAAAUCUGCAAUGUAUCAAAUUUAAGUACAGGUUUAUUACCUUCUCAAUGAAUUUCAUUGAAGACAAAACAUUAGCAAUAUCAUACAAUCUUCUAACUUUA
Molecule: long non-coding RNA, 595 nt
Organism: Ipomoea triloba (trilobed morning glory)
Lineage: Eukaryota; Viridiplantae; Streptophyta; Magnoliopsida; Solanales; Convolvulaceae
Exons: 2
Source: RefSeq, a predicted model, not a curated record